UACGGAGGGAGCUAGCGUUAUUCGGAAUUACUGGGCGUAAAGCGCACGUAGGCGGCUUUGUAAGUUAGAGGUGAAAGCCUGGAGCUCAACUCCAGAAUUGCCUUUAAGACUGCAUCGCUUGAAUCCAGGAGAGGUGAGUGGAAUUCCGAGUGUAGAGGUGAAAUUCGUAGAUAUUCGGAAGAACACCAGUGGCGAAGGCGGCUCACUGGACUGGUAUUGACGCUGAGGUGGCGAAAAGCGUGGGGAGCAAACAGG
RNAcentral lists this ribosomal RNA (255 nucleotides) under uncultured bacterium. RNAcentral describes it as "partial 16S ribosomal RNA". It matches the Rfam family "Bacterial small subunit ribosomal RNA", at positions 524 to 776 of the family's 1533-position model. The record is from RNAcentral.